RNAcentral lists this ribosomal RNA (586 nucleotides) under uncultured bacterium. Its description in RNAcentral is "bacterial SSU rRNA". It matches the Rfam family "Bacterial small subunit ribosomal RNA", at positions 338 to 916 of the family's 1533-position model. The record is from RNAcentral.
CCUACGGGAGGCAGCAGUGGGGAAUUUUGGACAAUGGGCGCAAGCCUGAUCCAGCAAUGCCGCGUGAGUGAAGAAGGCCUUCGGGUUGUAAAGCUCUUUUGUCAGGGAAGAAACGGUCUACUCUAAUACAGUGGGCUAAUGACGGUACCUGAAGAAUAAGCACCGGCUAACUACGUGCCAGCAGCCGCGGUAAUACGUAGGGUGCAAGCGUUAAUCGGAAUUACUGGGCGUAAAGCGUGCGCAGGCGGUUAUAUAAGUCAGAUGUGAAAUCCCCGGGCUCAACCUGGGAACUGCAUUUGAGACUGUAUGGCUAGAGUGUGUCAGAGGGGGGUAGAAUUCCACGUGUAGCAGUGAAAUGCGUAGAUAUGUGGAGGAAUACCGAUGGCGAAGGCAGCCCCCUGGGAUAACACUGACGCUCAUGCACGAAAGCGUGGGGAGCAAACAGGAUUAGAUACCCUGGUAGUCCACGCCCUAAACGAUGUCUACUAGUUGUCGGGACUUAAUUGUCUUGGUAACGCAGCUAACGCGUGAAGUAGACCGCCUGGGGAGUACGGUCGCAAGNUUAAAACCUCAAAUGAAUUGACGG